RNAcentral lists this ribosomal RNA (426 nucleotides) under uncultured bacterium. RNAcentral's name for it is "bacterial SSU rRNA". It matches the Rfam family "Bacterial small subunit ribosomal RNA", at positions 356 to 773 of the family's 1533-position model. The record is from RNAcentral.
AGGGAAUCUUCCGCAAUGGACGAAAGUCUGACGGAGCAACGCCGCGUGAGUGAUGAAGGUUUUCGGAUCGUAAAACUCUGUUGUUAGGGAAGAACAAGUACCGUUCGAAUAGGGCGGUACCUUGACGGUACCUAACCAGAAAGCCACGGCUAACUACGUGCCAGCAGCCGCGGUAAUACGUAGGUGGCAAGCGUUGUCCGGAAUUAUUGGGCGUAAAGCGCGCGCAGGCGGUUUCUUAAGUCUGAUGUGAAAGCCCCCGGCUCAACCGGGGAGGGUCAUUGGAAACUGGGGAACUUGAGUGCAGAAGAGGAGAGUGGAAUUCCACGUGUAGCGGUGAAAUGCGUAGAGAUGUGGAGGAACACCAGUGGCGAAGGCGACUCUCUGGUCUGUAACUGACGCUGAGGCGCGAAAGCGUGGGGAGCGAAC